Alligator mississippiensis (American alligator) is the source of this 2458-nucleotide long non-coding RNA. RefSeq lists it as uncharacterized. The transcript is spliced from 4 exons. The record is from RefSeq and is a predicted model, not a curated record. Lineage: Eukaryota; Metazoa; Chordata; Crocodylia; Alligatoridae.
GGGAAACAGCUAGGGAAAGAGCCCUAGCAGGGAAUAAGGAGCCCAGCUGUUGGUUGCCAGGGCAACUGGAGCUAACAAGCAAUAUUACCUGCCAGCGGUCAGCUGACUGAAAGGAGCAGGGCCUGGCUCUCUUAUAAACCCUAGGGGCUAAGGCCAGAGGCAGUUCUCUGCCAGCAGCCCAGGAGGAAGGAGCUCUCUGCCAUGGGAGAGAGGAGAAGCCUGAAGGUAGGAGCAGCAUCAGACACAGCUGUGAGAUAAAGAAACCCCGGUAGGCUUGAACAUUGUUAUGGCCGGGCGGCUUCUGUUUAAGUUAUAGCCCAGGGGCUUGUGUUUAUGUUGCUGUUUGUAACUGGUGGUUUGGGUGAGGCUGUUAGGGGUCGGAGGAGGCCUCAUAGGGGACCCACAGCAGUGUGGGAACCCCAGCGCCAGCAAGGGCACAGCAUUCAGGGUGUACAGACCCCGGCCCCAGGGAGGGGCAGCUGAGAAGCCCCAGUGUGGGUGUGAUAAGCCCCAGAGAGGGGCAUUUGAGAAGCCCCAGAGGGGGGGAAUUACUGAGAAGCCCCAGUGUGGGCACGGUGAGCCCCGGAGAGGGGUGGCAUUACUGAGGAACCCUGGAAAAGGGGCACUGCCGAGAAGCCUCAGUAUGAGCACAGAGAGCCCUGGAGAGAGGGCGGCAUUGCUGAGAAGGCCCUGGAGAGAGGGCGGAGAGCCCAAGUGCCAGAGAGGGCAUGGAGAGAGAGAGACCGAACAACAUCAGGCACAUCUGCAAAGCUUGGGGAGUGGUACAGGGGUGGUAGGAGCCACACAUAGCCCAUAAAGGGGGAGUAUACAGAAUACUCAAUACCGGAGGAGACCUAGAGAUAACAGGAGAACCGUGGGCAAGCAGAUGAAGGGCAGCCUCCCUAUAAAAUAUAUAAGAUCAAAGUCGUGGCAGGAGAGAAUUGGAGGGUGCUAAUCGAUAACUUGACUCAGUAAAGGAGGCGGCAGGGGAGAGCACGGUGACCCAAGCCGCCCUCCUGUUACACAGCCCUAGAAAGUAAUUUAAAAAUUACAGCUGGUGCACAGUAUCCGAAUAAUCUGAGACAAAUUUUACAGAGCUACAUGGAAGAAAACCUGCAUUAAAGAACCAAUUUCAGCUCCAAGACUGAGUAGCCUUGUUUAGGCUCUGUGAGCAGAGAGGAAACAGACCAGCUUCUCACCAUGCAGUUGUACUCCCAGCAGUCCAAAAGGUUUAUUGCUAGAUUACCAGAUGCUCAGAUUUACUAAUCCACUAGCUAUUACAGCUACAUUCCAUGAUGUCUUUUUUUCCUUAUAAGAAGUUCUGCUGCUGUGAAUCCAUAGAGUAUCUGCUGAAGCAAUGGCUGAUUUUGGAGAUUAUCACUUCAUUUUCCUUCCAAACAGGAUGGACCCUCCCUCAAGGCCUCAAAUCCCAGAAGGAUAUUCAGAAUAACUUUAGUUGGUUUAAUCCUUGCACAUCUUUCAGAGUUGGGGAGGCAUUUUCCUACUGAAUUUUGUAGACUUUUUGGAAGAAGGGAUCAGCAGCGGGAAGGAGAGGAGGCAGCACACGUGUGUCCCGCACGCACGUGUGCCCUUUUUACCAACCAACUGGCCGGAGGCGGCGGCGGCAGCAGCAACAGAGGAAUCGGCAGCGGGGGCAGCAGCAGCUGAUCCCCCGAAGGCCCAGGCACCAAAGGAAGAAGCACCCUGGGGAAUACCCUCCACAGCAGAGUGGCAGACAGUCACAGCCAGGACCAGAGCAGCACGCAGCGAACCGGUACCAGCUUCUCUAGUCCGACUGGUGAACAGAUCAAGAGAUCCACGAUGACCCAGAGGAGGAGGCGACGAGUGCUCGUCAUAGGAGACUCCAUCCUGAGAGGUACAGAAGGACCCAUCUGUCGCCAGGACCCCUCGGCACGAGAGUGACCGGACGAGGAAGACGGCAGGAGAACUGCAUCAGAGAGACCAACUGGCGGCUUCGGCAGUGGUGUCUCGAGGCAGGCUUCGGCUUCCUGGACAAUGACCCGCACAUCAUGACGAGGGACAUGCUCAGCUGGGAUGGGCUUCACCUGUCCCCCAAAGGUAAGCGUGUGUUUUCUACUAGGUUGGCGGAUCUCCUCCGGCGGGCUUUAAACUAGGCUCGUCGGGGGGAGGGGAGUACGAGGGCAGGGGAAGCUGUGGACCACCAAACCAUGUGGCACCCACAAGGACAGCCCAGCCUGAAGAAGGAGAACAUUGGGAACCUGAAAGCCAUGGGGAGGCCAGCACUACAGAACAGGUAAGAAACAAGAAGGUAAGAAACAAUGGGCCCCAUGGGACUGGGAGCGGGGGGGCAGCAAAGGCACCAGUCGCAGGGCUCAAGUGCCUAUAUACUAAUGCUAGGAGCAUGGGGAACAAGCAGGAUGAACUAGCGCUCCUGCUUGCACUAAACACCUAUGACUUAGUGGGGCUAACAGAGACC